This 363-nucleotide transfer RNA is filed under the name uncultured Microcystis sp. Its description in RNAcentral is "partial miscellaneous RNA". The stretch from base 135 to 208 matches the Rfam family "tRNA". Lineage: Bacteria; Bacillati; Cyanobacteriota; Cyanophyceae; Chroococcales; Microcystaceae. The record is from RNAcentral.
AAGGGAGACCUAAUUCAGGUAGGAGACGAAAAAAAAGUAGUCCCUACCAAGAAUCAAUCCCAAAAGGUCGGAGCGAGGCAAAAUUGGCUUUCAAACUAGGUUCUGGGUUCACACAAGACCUGAAUCUGGAACAAGGGCUAUUAGCUCAGGUGGUUAGAGCGCACCCCUGAUAAGGGUGAGGUCCCUGGUUCGAGUCCAGGAUGGCCCACCUGUACAGGUGGCAAAGACAAAGAAAAGAAGCGAGGAAUCAGCACCUUAUCUUACUUAUAUAGUAAGAGAGAAUGCUGGCUCUGAGUAAAGAGUCCAGAGGAACCUUGAAAACUGCAUAGAGCUAGGUGAAAAAGCCAAAAAAGAAGACCGCAA